GCUGGCAGCUAGCUCUCUGCAACUCUUAAAUGGUCGCCCAAUGAAGCUAAGCAGGGCUGCGCCCGGUCAGUACCUGGUUUGGAGACCACAUGGGAAAGCUAGGUUGCAGCCGGAU
Molecule: ribosomal RNA, 115 nt
Filed under: Danio rerio (zebrafish)
Lineage: Eukaryota; Metazoa; Chordata; Actinopteri; Cypriniformes; Danionidae
Source: RNAcentral